GGAUCCAGACUUUGAUCCUGGCUCAGGAUGAACGCUGGCGGCGUGCCUAACACAUGCAAGUCGAGCGAUUCUCUUCGGAGAAGAGCGGCGGACGGGUGAGUAACGCGUGGGUAACCUGCCCUGUACACACGGAUAACAUACCGAAAGGUAUGCAAAUACGAGAUAAUAUGCUUUUAUCGCAUGGUAGAAGUAUCAAAGCUCCGGCGGUACAGGAUGGACCCGCGUCUGAUUAGCUAGUUGGUAAGGUAACGGCUUACCAAGGCGACGAUCAGUAGCCGACCUGAGAGGGUGAUCGGCCACAUUGGAACUGAGACACGGUCCAAACUCCUACGGGAGGCAGCAGUGGGGAAUAUUGCACAAUGGGCGAAAGCCUGAUGCAGCAACGCCGCGUGAGCGAUGAAGGCCUUCGGGUCGUAAAGCUCUGUCCUCAAGGAAGAUAAUGACGGUACUUGAGGAGGAAGCCCCGGCUAACUACGUGCCAGCAGCCGCGGUAAUACGUAGGGGGCUAGCGUUAUCCGGAAUUACUGGGCGUAAAGGGUGCGUAGGUGGUUUCUUGAGUCAGAGGUGAAAGGCUACGGCUCAACCGUAGUAAGCCUUUGAAACUGGGAAACUUGAGUGCAGGAGAGGAGAGUGGAAUUCCUAGUGUAGCGGUGAAAUGCGUAGAUAUUAGGAGGAACACCAGUUGCGAAGGCGGCUCUCUGGACUGUAACUGACACUGAGGCACGAAAGCGUGGGGAGCAAACAGGAUUAGAUACCCUGGUAGUCCACGCCGUAAACGAUGAGUACUAGCUGUCGGAGGUUACCCCCUUCGGUGGCGCAGCUAACGCAUUAAGUACUCCGCCUGGGAAGUACGCUCGCAAGAGUGCAACUCAAAGGAAUUGACGG
RNAcentral lists this ribosomal RNA (885 nucleotides) under uncultured bacterium. RNAcentral describes it as "bacterial SSU rRNA". It matches the Rfam family "Bacterial small subunit ribosomal RNA", at positions 1 to 916 of the family's 1533-position model. The record is from RNAcentral.